CAAUAGCGUAUAUUAAAGUUGUUGCAGUUAGAACGCUCGUAGUCGGAUUUCGGGGCGUUCCGACCGGUCUGCCGAUGGGUAUGCACUGGCCGGAGUGUCCUUUUUGCCGGAGACCGUGCCUACUCUUAACUGAGCGGGGGCGGGAGACGGCACUUUUACUUUGAAAAAAUCAGAGUGUUUCAAGCAGGCAGCUCGCUCUUGCAUGGGUUAGCAUGGGAUAAUGAAAUAGGACUUUGGUGCUAUUUUGUUGGUUUCGAACACCGAAGUAAUGAUGAGAAGGGACAGUCAGGGGCACUCGUAUUCCGCAGAGAGAGGUGAAAUUCUCAGACCCGCGGAAGACGAACCACUGCGAAAGCAUUUGCCAGGGAUGUUUUCACUGA
This 380-nucleotide ribosomal RNA is filed under the name uncultured eukaryote. Its description in RNAcentral is "partial 18S ribosomal RNA". It matches the Rfam family "Eukaryotic small subunit ribosomal RNA", at positions 592 to 976 of the family's 1831-position model. The record is from RNAcentral.